UUUGCAUGACUUAUAAAUUUUUUUGACACCUCAAUAUUUUUAAAUAGAGCUAUCCAUCACAAUUAUUAUAAUCUCUGAGAAAUCAUAUUUAUUUAGCAAAUUUAAUGAAUAACAAUCCGAAGCCAAUAGACUCAUUUCCUUAGAAGAUAUGAGAGAAGAGCCAUAAAAGGGAAGAAAAUAAUCAUAUAGAGAGAAAUCAAUUCCAUGCAAAGAAG
Molecule: unclassified non-coding RNA, 215 nt
Filed under: Hevea brasiliensis (rubber tree)
Lineage: Eukaryota; Viridiplantae; Streptophyta; Magnoliopsida; Malpighiales; Euphorbiaceae
Source: RNAcentral